This 253-nucleotide ribosomal RNA is filed under the name uncultured bacterium. RNAcentral describes it as "partial 16S ribosomal RNA". It matches the Rfam family "Bacterial small subunit ribosomal RNA", at positions 524 to 776 of the family's 1533-position model. The record is from RNAcentral.
UACGUGAGUGGCGAGCGUUAUCCGGAAUCACUGGGCGUAAAGCGUCCCUAGGGGGUGUGACAAGUACAAUGUUAAAUCUACUCGCUCAACGGGUAGGCUGCGUUGUAUACUGUCAUGCUUGAGGUAGACAGAGGUGAGCAGAAUUCCCGGAGUAGGGGUAAUAUCCGUAGAUACCGGGAGGAAUACCAAUAGCGAAGGCAGCUCACUGGGUCUCACCUGACCCUGAAUGACGAAAGCGUGGGGAGCGAACCGG